AUUGAACGCUGGCGGCAGGCCUAACACAUGCAAGUCGAGCGGCAGCGGGAAAGUAGCUUGCUACUUUUGCCGGCGAGCGGCGGACGGGUGAGUAAUGCCUGGGAAAUUGCCCAGUCGAGGGGGAUAGCAGUUGGAAACGACUGCUAAUACCGCAUACGCCCUACGGGGGAAAGCAGGGGACCUUCGGGCCUUGCGCGAUUGGAUAUGCCCAGGUGGGAUUAGCUAGUUGGUGAGGUAAUGGCUCACCAAGGCGACGAUCCCUAGCUGGUCUGGGAGGAUGAUCAGCCACACUGGAACUGAGACACGGUCCAGACUCCUACGGGAGGCAGCAGUGGGGAAUAUUGCACAAUGGGGGAAACCCUGAUGCAGCCAUGCCGCGUGUGUGAAGAAGGCCUUCGGGUUGUAAAGCACUUUCAGCGAGGAGGAAAGGUUGAUGCCUAAUACGUAUCAACUGUGACGUUACUCGCAGAAGAAGCACCGGCUAACUCCGUGCCAGCCGCCGCAGUAA
This 508-nucleotide ribosomal RNA is filed under the name uncultured bacterium. RNAcentral's name for it is "partial 16S ribosomal RNA". It matches the Rfam family "Bacterial small subunit ribosomal RNA", at positions 30 to 523 of the family's 1533-position model. The record is from RNAcentral.